This 252-nucleotide ribosomal RNA is filed under the name uncultured bacterium. Its description in RNAcentral is "partial 16S ribosomal RNA". It matches the Rfam family "Bacterial small subunit ribosomal RNA", at positions 524 to 776 of the family's 1533-position model. The record is from RNAcentral.
UACGUAGGGCGCAAGCGUUGUCCGGAAUUAUUGGGCGUAAAGAGCUCGUAGGCGGCCUGUUACGUCUGCUGUGAAAUCCCGGGGCUUAACCCCGGGCGUGCAGUGGAUACGGGCAGGCUGGAGGCAGGCAGGGGAGAACGGAAUUCCCGGUGUAGCGGUGAAAUGCGCAGAUAUCGGGAGGAACACCGGUGGCGAAGGCGGUUCUCUGGGCCUGACUGACGCUGAGGAGCGAAAGCGUGGGGAGCGAACAGG